Molecule: long non-coding RNA, 1211 nt
Filed under: Mytilus galloprovincialis (Mediterranean mussel)
Lineage: Eukaryota; Metazoa; Mollusca; Bivalvia; Mytilida; Mytilidae
Source: RNAcentral
UACAAAUCUUGCUGUUUCGGAUAUUCUUUUGUGUUUACUAGCUGUACCGUUUACUCCAAUAUCAUAUUACUUGCAAUCAUGGGUAUUUGGAGAGUUUUUUUGUCAUUUAGUAUCAAUGACCUUAGCCAUUUGUGUGUACGUUUCAACACUAACAUCUACCAUUAUUGCAGUUAUUCGAUAUAGGGCAAUUGUAUAUCCUUUAAAACCGCCAUUGCAGAUUUCCAACUGUUUUCGGAUUAUUUUUAUCAUCUGGCUAAUAUCUAUUUCUAUAUCAGUUCCUCUUGGAGUUUACUCGAGCCUAAAUGAAAAUAGAGACGGAUCUAUCAAUUGUGUGGAAAGAUGGCCGACCGAUCAAUCGUCACGAAUAUUCAGCAUAACUUGUCUCCUGCUUCAAUAUAUUGUGCCUUGCUUUAUAAUAAUGUUUAGUUAUACAAGCGUUUCAUUAGUUUUGAAAAGGCGUAUACAGUCUAAUUAUUUAAAUCAAUCAAAGACUAAAAAUCAAGAAGAGAUAGAUAUGAAAAGAAAGCAGCGUACGAAUAAGAUGUUGGUUACUAUGAUUACUAUUUUUGUUUGUUGUUGGCUGCCUCUAAAUAUAACAAAUAUUUUGGCUGAGUAUAUAUCGUCUUUCUCAAACUGGUACUACUUCACAUUAUGUUUCUUUAGUGCUCACAUAGUAGCAAUGAGUUCUGUGAUUUACAAUCCAUUUCUUUACGGCUGUAUGAGUGACAAUUUCAAAAAAGAAUUUAUGUCACUUAUUUAAAGUGGUGUUAAUUAAUGAGUGAAUAUUCAAAAUCAGCAAUAUGUCGUUUAACAAUAUCUGAACAACAUGACUAUUGAAGACACUAAAUAUCAGAGAACAUGCAUAAGAUAAACGUUAUUAGACUGAAUGUAAUUAUAAGUGUUGUUCGCUGUCCAGUUGAAUUAUUGUCGAUAGCAUUUACUCCGAAAUUACAAAGACAAAAUAUCAUUGACCCUUGACCCUGUCAUAUUGGAAUACUUAUAAGGUAGGCAGACCCCUUUAUUAUACAGUUUGAUUAAAAUUUCAAAAAUAGACAUGUGUGGUAAUUUUAUACCAUAAGGCAAAUUUUAGUUGAAUGAAGUUUUGUAAGUUUUCUUUUUGUUGCCAAGGCGUUUCAAGAUGAAGUCGUUUGCCGUGUUACCAUAAGGUUAUCUUAUAAUUGUUUUAACAGAUUGUAUUCACUCAUGGGGCG